Molecule: ribosomal RNA, 253 nt
Filed under: uncultured bacterium
Lineage: Bacteria
Description: partial 16S ribosomal RNA
Rfam family: Bacterial small subunit ribosomal RNA
Source: RNAcentral
UACGUAGGGGGCUAGCGUUGUCCGGAAUCAUUGGGCGUAAAGAGCGUGUAGGCGGUCCGGUAAGUCCGCUGUGAAAGUCGGGGGCUCAACCCUCGAAUGCCGGUGGAUACUGUCGGGCUAGAGUGCGGAAGAGGCGAGUGGAAUUCCCGGUGUAGCGGUGAAAUGCGCAGAUAUCGGGAAGAACACCCGUGGCUAAGGCGGCUCUCUAGUACGGUACUGACGCUGAGACGCGAAAGCGUAGGGAGCGAACAGG